RNAcentral lists this ribosomal RNA (524 nucleotides) under uncultured bacterium. RNAcentral's name for it is "bacterial SSU rRNA". It matches the Rfam family "Bacterial small subunit ribosomal RNA", at positions 984 to 1509 of the family's 1533-position model. The record is from RNAcentral.
ACAUCCAGCGAACUUGGCAGAGAUGCCUUGGUGCCUUCGGGAACGCUGAGACAGGUGCUGCAUGGCUGUCGUCAGCUCGUGUGUGAAAUGUUGGGUUAAGUCCCGNAACGAGCGCAACCCUUAUCCUUUGUUGCCAGCGAUUCGGUCGGGAACUCAAAGGAGACUGCCGGUGAUAAACCGGAGGAAGGUGGGGAUGACGUCAAGUCAUCAUGGCCCUUACGAGUAGGGCUACACACGUGCUACAAUGGCGCAUACAAAGAGAAGCGACCUCGCGAGAGCAAGCGGACCUCAUAAAGUGCGUCGUAGUCCGGAUCGGAGUCUGCAACUCGACUCCGUGAAGUCGGAAUCGCUAGUAAUCGUGGAUCAGAAUGCCACGGUGAAUACGUUCCCGGGCCUUGUACACACCGCCCGUCACACCAUGGGAGUGGGUUGCAAAAGAAGUAGGUAGCUUAACCCUCGGGAGGGCGCUUACCACUUUGUGAUUCAUGACUGGGGUGAAGUCGUAACAAGGUAAGCGUAGUGCU